CCCUUAGAUGUCCUGGGCCGCACGCGCGCUACAAUGAUAAAUUCAGAAUGUUUUUCCUGCCCUGGAAAGGUGUGGGUAAUCAUUAUAGUAUUUAUCGUGUUAGGGAUCGAUCUUUGCAAUUAUAGAUCUUGAACGAGGAAUGCCUAGUAAGUGCAGCUCAUCAGGCUGUACUGAUUACGUCCCUGCCCUUUGUACACACCGCCCGUCGCUCCUACCGAUUUCGAGUGUUCAGGUGAACCUUCUGGACUGGGCCGCAAGGCUCGGGAAGUUAGGUAAAUCUUAACACUUAGAGGAAGGAGAAGUCGUAACA
Molecule: ribosomal RNA, 310 nt
Filed under: uncultured eukaryote
Lineage: Eukaryota
Description: partial 18S ribosomal RNA
Rfam family: Eukaryotic small subunit ribosomal RNA
Source: RNAcentral